CCAAUAGCGUAUAUUAAAGUUGUUGCAGUUAAAAAGCUCGUAGUUGAAUUUCGGGGUUAGUAGGUUGGUCAUGCCUCUGUUAUGUACCGGUCUCACUGAUUCUCCAUUCCCGAUGAACCGUUAUGCCAUUAAUUUGGUGUUGCGGGGAAUUUGGACUGUUACUUUGAAAAAAUUAGAGUGUUUAAAGCAAGCUAACGCUUGAAUACAUUAGCAUGGAAUAAUGAAAUAGGACGUUCGAUCCUAUUUUGUUGGUUUCUAGGAUUGACGUAAUGAUUAAUAGGGAUAGUUGGGGGCAUUAGUAUUCAAUUGUCAGAGGUGAAAUUCUUGGAUUUAUUGAAGACUAACUACUGCGAAAGCAUUUGCCAAGGAUGUUUUCAUUAAUCAAGAACGAAAGUUAGGGGAUCGAAGACGAUCAGAUACCGUCGUAGUCUUAACCAUAAACUAUGCCGACUAGGGAUCGGAUGAUGUUAAUUUUUUAAUGACUCGUUCGGCACCUUACG
RNAcentral lists this ribosomal RNA (500 nucleotides) under uncultured Glomeromycotina. RNAcentral describes it as "partial small subunit ribosomal RNA". It matches the Rfam family "Eukaryotic small subunit ribosomal RNA", at positions 591 to 1092 of the family's 1831-position model. The record is from RNAcentral. Lineage: Eukaryota; Fungi; Glomeromycota.